Molecule: unclassified non-coding RNA, 221 nt
Filed under: uncultured Entrophospora
Lineage: Eukaryota; Fungi; Glomeromycota; Glomeromycetes; Entrophosporales; Entrophosporaceae
Description: uncultured Claroideoglomus sequence contains ITS2
Source: RNAcentral
AAUAAUAAUUAUCAUAAUCUUGAUUAUGGAAUUGGGCUUUUAUUUCAUUUUAAUGAUUUAUGGCCUUAAAUUUAUGUUACGCUUGUUUAAUGAAAUUCGACCGAAUGGAGCAAUUAAACAUUUCUCUCGUUAGGCGGAUUCAUCAAGCAAUUACGAUUUUUUGGCCGUCGAGGCACUUUUUUUUAGAAGUGCUUGGUCGAGAUUGUAAAAGAUACAUUUAA